GAUGAAGAACGUAGCGAAAUGCAAUAAUUAAUGUGAAUUGCAGAAUUCCGUGAAUCAUCGAGUCUUUGAACGCACAUUGCGCCUCAUGGCAUUCCGUGAGGCAUGCCCAUCUCAGCGUUAGAAAAUAUUCUCAAAUUUUAGUUUUGUGCUAAAAUUUGGAUCAUGUCAAGGAAGCUAUUACUAUUAUUGUGAUCGCUCUUUGGAAAUUGAUAGGUCUUUGAGUUGCUACUCAUAGAACGUGAUGAAUCUUUCUUCGUUCUAUUGUAAUUCACUCUGGUAGUCCUAAAACUUGUAUGCCUGUGGCAUAUCUUGUAAUUUGACCUGAGAUUGGGUAGGGAUACCCGCUGAACUUAAGCAUAUCAUAAGCGGAGGA
RNAcentral lists this unclassified non-coding RNA (373 nucleotides) under soil metagenome. RNAcentral's name for it is "partial contains internal transcribed spacer 2 and large subunit ribosomal RNA". The stretch from base 1 to 120 matches the Rfam family "5.8S ribosomal RNA", at positions 35 to 154 of the family's 154-position model. The record is from RNAcentral.